Molecule: long non-coding RNA, 2199 nt
Organism: Equus caballus (horse)
Lineage: Eukaryota; Metazoa; Chordata; Mammalia; Perissodactyla; Equidae
Source: Ensembl
GCUCUGGUAAAGAAAUUCAAAUUCAUGCCCCACCCCCCAGACCUACUGAAUUAGAAACUGGGGGUAGAGCCCAGCAGUCUGAGUUUUAAUCACCAAUCCAGCUGAUUCCAAUCCUUUCUUGAAGAAUCACUAUGGUUAUAAUCCACCGUCAACCGUUCACCGGCUGGGUGACCUUGGGACUAAUCGUUGAGCUUCCUUUUUCUCAUCUGUAAAAUGGGCAUGCUGCAGACCUGCCCAGUCCACUCAACAGUAUCCCUACAAAGAUGAACAUGUAGUAUCAGAUGUGAUUGUAUUUUGCGAAGCCUCCAGUGCUGGACCUUUGUAAAGUAGUAUUAAUUGUAAUAAUCCUUCCAUUUAUUGAAUACUACCCAUGUUCCAGGAACUGUUUAGGCAUUGUUUCACUCAGUCACCACCACAAACGUGUGACGUACAUAACACCACCCUCAUUUUUCAGAUAAGGAAACUCAGGCUUUGAGAAUUUAGGAAACUUGCUCACGGCAACCCAGCAGAGCCAAGCUAGAACCCAGGGAGAAGGUGGCUGUCUACAAGCCAGGAAGGGAGCUCUCACAAGAAACUGGAUCAGCUGGCACCUUGAUGUUGGACUUGCCAACCUCUAGAACUCUCUGCAAUUCUGAAAGCGUGUGUCAAGAUGGAACUUCCAUCAAUCUGGGGCUCUAAGUAAUGGUGAUGAGCAGAACCUUCUUGCCCACCUACAGUAGAUAUUUAGCAUAUGUGAGAAAUAUGCUCUGCUGGGUUAAGCAAAAAGAACAAGAAGCAAGCAAAAAACCAAACAGACUGUGGCUUUCAUCAUGGUCUCUCUCUCUUGGAUCACACACUCUGGGGGAAGCUACCUGCCACUUCGUGAAGACACUCAGGCAGCUUAUGAAGAGGCAGAGUGGUCAGAGACUGAAGUAUUUGGCCAAUAGCCCAUGUGGGAUAGAGACCUGCCAACAACUGCAGGAGUGAGCUGAGAAGCUCUUCCUAUAGUCAAGCCUUCAGAUGAUGGCAGUCUUAAGAGAAACCUGGAGUCAGAACAACCCAGCUAAGCCACGCCCAGAUUCCUGACCUCCAGAAACUGCAUGAGAUAACAAAUGCUGGCCAUUUAAAGCUGCUAAAUUUGGGGGUAACUUGUUACACAACAAAAAAUAACUAAUACACACUGGCAGGGCCACAGUAUGACUUUUGUGGGCCCCAGGCACCUUUGCCUUUGUAGGUGUCUUCCUCCAAAAAUAUUAAAAGUUCUAUUUGUGACCAUGUUGAUAUAAAGACAAAUAUGAUCCAGACUGGAUUCAUUAUUAUAUAUUCAUUAUCAUUAUAUCCACUUUUGUCUUCUGAUUUUAAAAGAAAUAAAAGUUAAAACAUUUUUGUAGGCCCUGAAGUAUAGGGGCCUAGACACUGUGCCUUCCAUGUCAGAUGGAUGUCAGCCCUGCACAUGGGAAGAGCAUGGGAGGGACAUGCAGUUACUGAUGAAAGCUGAAUACCGAAGAAUUGGUUACUGGCCCUGACAGUCCUCAAGUUCAAGGAAGAAGCCAAAUACCUGGGAAUACUUAGUAUUUGGGAAAAAUCCUAUCCUCUGUGGAUCCUAUUGGGUCCUAUAUCUCAGGUAACCAGGGGAACUGAGUGCAAGCUGCUCUAAGUUAUUACUAAAAGGCAAUGACAUGACCUGCACUUGUUGGGUCCAAACCACACAGGAUCCCAUGAAAGCUGGUGUAUCAGCUAUGACUAUUCAGGUGACGUGGGCUGUGUAACACUGGGUUCUGGACUCAAUCUCUUCCUGAAGCUGAUGUCUCAUACUCACAAUUUGAAUUAAAUCUGGAGGCAGUAAAGUCUUUUGAUUCACAGACACAGAAUCUAGCAGGCUUGAGUUUAAAUCCUACCUGUGGUCCUUCCUGGCUGUGUUGUCUUUGGCAAUUUUUCAACCUCAAGCCUAAAGUUUCUCCAUCUACAGUAUACAUUCCACCAGUCAACAGCAUAAAACAUGGCCCCCCAAAAUGGCAAGUGGUUCCAUCCCAUAGACUAUCUUCAAAGUCAAAAGAGUUGUUACAAAAUUGGAGUGAGGGAUUAGAUAGUUCCACCUGAUGAAACGAUUAUAAAUAUAUGAAGUCUAUGAAGGAAAUGAUAACAUAUUACUGAAGGACGUGAAAGAAGAUCUGAAUAAAGGGACAGAUGUACUAUGUUGAUUCAGGAAAACACUCCAUU